AUCAUAAGAGUUAGAGAUGG
This 20-nucleotide non-coding RNA is filed under the name Arabidopsis thaliana (thale cress). Lineage: Eukaryota; Viridiplantae; Streptophyta; Magnoliopsida; Brassicales; Brassicaceae. The record is from RNAcentral.